This 263-nucleotide unclassified non-coding RNA is filed under the name plant metagenome. RNAcentral's name for it is "partial contains small subunit ribosomal RNA, internal transcribed spacer 1, and 5.8S ribosomal RNA". The record is from RNAcentral.
UUUCCGUAGGUGAACCUGCGGAAGGAUCAUUAUUGUAUAACCGAGGUGCGAGGGCUGUCGCUGACCCGAAAGGUCGUGCACGCCCGAGUGCCCUCACACGCAUCCAUCUCACCCCUAUGUGCACCACCGCGUGGGUCCCCCUUUGGCUUGUUCGGAGGGGGGCUUACGUUUUCACACAAACUUAGUAUGCAGUGUAGAAUGUAUUUUUUGUUUUUGCGAUCACGCAAUCAAUACAACUUUCAACAACGGAUCUCUUGGCUCUC